GAGUAAGACCAAGCGGCGGACGGGUGAGUAACGCGUGGGUAACCUGCCCUAUACACAUGGAUAACAUACUGAAAAGUUUACUAAUACAUGAUAAUAUAUAUUUACGGCAUCGUAGAUAUAUCAAAGUGUUAGCGGUAUAGGAUGGACCCGCGUCUGAUUAGCUAGUUGGUGAGAUAACUGCCCACCAAGGCGACGAUCAGUAGCCGACCUGAGAGGGUGAUCGGCCACAUUGGAACUGAGACACGGUCCAAACUCCUACGGGAGGCAGCAGUGGGGAAUAUUGCACAAUGGGCGCAAGCCUGAUGCAGCAACGCCGCGUGAACGAUGAAGGUCUUCGGAUCGUAAAGUUCUGUUGCAGGGGAAGAUAAUGACGGUACCCUGUGAGGAAGCCCCGGCUAACUACGUGCCAGCAGCCGCGGUAAUACGUAGGGGGCUAGCGUUAUCCGGAUUUACUGGGCGUAAAGGGUGCGUAGGUGGUCUUUCAAGUCGGUGGUUAAAGGCUACGGCUCAACUGUAGUUAGCCUCCGAAACUGGAAGACUUGAGUGCAGGAGAGGAAAGUGGAAUUCCCAGUGUAGCGGUGAAAUGCGUAGAUAUUGGGAGGAACACCAGUAGCGAAGGCGGCUUUCUGGACUGCAACUGACACUGAGGCACGAAAGCGUGGGUAGCAAACAGGAUUAGAUACCCUGGUAGUCCACGCUGUAAACGAUGAGUACUAGGUGUCGGGGGUUACCCCCCUCGGUGCCGCAGCUAACGCAUUAAGUACUCCGCCUGGGGAGUACGCACGCAAGUGUGAAACUCAAAGGAAUUGACGGGGACCCGCACAAGUAGCGGAGCAUGUGGUUUAAUUCGAAGCAACGCGAAGAACCUUACCUAAGCUUGACAUCCCUUAGACCGGUGUUUAAUCACACCUUCCCUUCGGGGCUGAGGUGACAGGUGGUGCAUGGUUGUCGUCAGCUCGUGUCGUGAGAUGUUGGGUUAAGUCCCGCAACGAGCGCAACCCUUGUCUUUAGUUGCCAGCAUUCAGUUGGGCACUCUAGAGAGACUGCCAGGGAUAACCUGGAGGAAGGUGGGGAUGACGUCAAAUCAUCAUGCCCCUUAUGCUUAGGGCUACACACGUGCUACAAUGGGUGGUACAGAGGGUUGCCAAACCGUGAGGUGGAGCUAAUCCCUUAAAGCCAUUCUCAGUUCGGAUUGUAGGCUGAAACUCGCCUACAUGAAGCUGGAGUUACUAGUAAUCGCAGAUCAGAAUGUUGCGGUGAAUGCGUUCCCGGGUCU
Molecule: ribosomal RNA, 1276 nt
Filed under: uncultured bacterium
Lineage: Bacteria
Description: bacterial SSU rRNA
Rfam family: Bacterial small subunit ribosomal RNA
Source: RNAcentral